GGGGACGUAGCUCAGCUGGCUAGAGCACCUGCUUUGCAAGCAGUUGGCCGUUUCCUGGCGCAACGCUGUGACCUGCAUCUUUGGGACGUUCCCCCAUGGAGUCAGGUGAUUUUCCCCCACUUCGUCCCCC
This 130-nucleotide transfer RNA is filed under the name Actinomycetota bacterium. RNAcentral describes it as "Actinobacteria bacterium tRNA-Ala". The stretch from base 1 to 56 matches the Rfam family "tRNA". Lineage: Bacteria; Bacillati; Actinomycetota. The record is from RNAcentral.